CCUACGGGUGGCAGCAGUCGAGAAUCAUUCACAAUGGGGGAAACCCUGAUGCAGCGACGCCGCGUGAGUGAAGAAGUAUUUCGGUAUGUAAAGCUCUGUCAGCAGGGAAGAAAAUGACGGUACCUGACCAAGAAGCCCCGGCUAACUACGUGCCAGCAGCCGCGGUAAUACGUAGGGGGCAAGCGUUAUCCGGAUUUACUGGGUGUAAAGGGAGCGUAGACGGCAGGGCAAGUCUGGAGUGAAAGGCGGGGGCUCAACCCCCGGACCGCUCUGGAAACUGCCAGGCUGGAGUGCAGGAGAGGUAAGUGGAAUUCCUAGUGUAGCGGUGAAAUGCGUAGAUAUUAGGAGGAACACCAGUGGCGAAGGCGGCUUACUGGACUGUAACUGACGUUGAGGCUCGAAAGCGUGGGGAGCAAACAGGAUUAGAUACCCGAGUAGUC
Molecule: ribosomal RNA, 440 nt
Filed under: uncultured bacterium
Lineage: Bacteria
Description: partial 16S ribosomal RNA
Rfam family: Bacterial small subunit ribosomal RNA
Source: RNAcentral